GACGAACGCUGGCGGCGUGCUUAACACAUGCAAGUCACGGGGGCUCGCAAGAGCAACCGGCGAACGGGUGCGUAACACGUGAGCAAUCUGCCGAUUUCUGGGGGAUAGCCGGCCCAACGGCCGGGUAAUACCGCAUACGUUCUCGAGGGGGAGUCCCCUUGGGAAGAAACCUCCGGGGGAAAUCGAGGAGCUCGCGGCCUAUCAGCUAGUUGGCGGUGUAAUGGACCACCAAGGCUAUGACGGGUAGCUGGUCUGAGAGGAUGGCCAGCCACAUUGGGACUGAGAAACGGCCCAGACUCCUACGGGAGGCAGCAGUGGGGAAUCUUGCGCAAUGGCCGAAAGGCUGACGCAGCGACGCCGCGUGUGGGAUGAAGCAUUUCGGUGUGUAAACCACUGUUGCCCGGGACGAACAUCCUCUUUCGAGAGGACU
RNAcentral lists this ribosomal RNA (430 nucleotides) under uncultured bacterium. RNAcentral describes it as "bacterial SSU rRNA". It matches the Rfam family "Bacterial small subunit ribosomal RNA", at positions 28 to 470 of the family's 1533-position model. The record is from RNAcentral.